Molecule: transfer RNA, 70 nt
Filed under: Brachyrhynchus hsiaoi
Lineage: Eukaryota; Metazoa; Arthropoda; Insecta; Hemiptera; Aradidae
Description: tRNA-Met
Source: RNAcentral
AAUUAGAUAAGCUAAUAUUAAGCUUAUAGGUUCAUACCCUAUCAAUAGAAGUAAAACCUUCUUCUAAUUA